Molecule: small RNA, 24 nt
Filed under: Arabidopsis thaliana (thale cress)
Lineage: Eukaryota; Viridiplantae; Streptophyta; Magnoliopsida; Brassicales; Brassicaceae
Source: RNAcentral
AUCGGCCUCGUCAUCGAAAGCGGC